Molecule: non-coding RNA, 78 nt
Organism: Podarcis lilfordi (Lilford's wall lizard)
Lineage: Eukaryota; Metazoa; Chordata; Lepidosauria; Squamata; Lacertidae
Source: the annotation of a GenBank genome assembly
CUCUCAUUAGCUCAGUCGGUAUAGCAUGAGACUCUUAAUGCCAGGGUCAUGGGUUCAAGCCCCACGUUGGAUGAAAGA